AGUUGGUGAUGUGGACAAUCCCGAAGAAGAUCCUUGAAGCAUUCCCAAGCAUGAUAAAGAUUUUUGUCUGGCUUUUGCUUGAAACUUUUUAUCUCACUGCGAAGUCU
Non-coding RNA from Capsicum annuum, 107 nucleotides. Lineage: Eukaryota; Viridiplantae; Streptophyta; Magnoliopsida; Solanales; Solanaceae. The record is from Rfam.